CAUUAUCCUUAUCCCUUUCCCCGUCUCACCAUGGAGGUGGAGAAGAAGCACGGGAGCACAACAUCGCGACGCCUGGGUGGUCGAUGUGGAGGCGGUAGAUCGAACUAGAGCCCGACGAGAGGCCUGCCCGUGAACUGGAGCAGCGCCGCCGCCGUCUUUUCCUCCCAAUUUCUUGGAGGGGAGCUGGAGCGAUGCCGCCGCCGGCGUUGUCGAGCCGUCGAGGUACCUGCUCCUCUUGUGCGCCGUGAUUUUCCUUCUCAUCCAUGCUGGCCGCGAGGGUUUCUGCCCCGCCGCCAGGAAGCCGUGCGCGGAGUCUGCAUACUGAGGUGUUGCGGACGCCAAAGACGGAGGAAAAGGGCAAUGGAGACGUCGAUUUGUCGUUGGUUAGAGGUAAUGGCACAGUAGCGCCUCCAAAUCGAGGUAUGGUAAUUCCAGUUUAGAAGUAUGGUUUUGGGGAUCAUCCUGUUGGUUUGGGUGCUUAGGUAUUGGUUGCUGGCUGCCGGGCCAUAUUGCUUAUGCUGCAGUAAGGCUAGUUGAGAACUGGCGUGAUGCCAAAUUGCCAAUGUUCUGCUCAUGAACUUUUGAACUGCUGUAUAAAAAACGAGAGAGGGGGAAAGACACACUAUAUUUGGUGCUAAAUUUUUAAUCACACUGAACAUCAGGGUCAACCAUUAGUAGAUUUUAGACUAGGUUUGUGUCAACACGUGGGUUUCCGAUGGUUUAUGGAAGGCAUGAUCCAGUGAUAUACUGAUGGGUUAUCUCUAUACAUGCAGGCUGAAGCUAGAUCCAUGGAAGUAGUAGUUGUGGUAGAACAAAUCAUGUUCAGCUCUUGUUUCUGUGUGGAAAUCUUACAAUAUAUUUUCCAUAUAUUUUUGGCGAACUUUAUUGAUGAACAAAGCUACGGUUUAGCAUCCAGACUACUUACUAUAGUUGCUAGAAAUCUUACAAUAUAUUUUUCAUAUAUUUUUGGCAAACUUUAUUGAUGAACAGAGCUACGGUUUAGCAUCCAGACUACUUACUAUAGUUGCUCAUCUGCUCUUCGUUCGACUUGAGCCUGGUAGUUUCAUUACAACUGCAACUUGUCUGGUCAACUUGAUGUAUUUUUCCUUUUUAAUAAGACCCCACACUUUUUUGUGUUGUACUCCCUCCGUUCCUAAAUAUUUGUCUUUCUAGAGAUUUCAAAUGGUCACCACAUACGGAUGUAUAUAGACAUAUUUUAGAGUAUAGAUUCACUCAUUUUGCUCUGUAUGUAGUCACCAUUUAAAACCUCUAGAAAGACAACUAUUUAGGAACGAAGGGAGUACAUCAUAGCAACCAUGGCGGGGAUUAGCAAGAAUAAAAGAGCAGCAUCAUGCAUGAGCUCCUUAUCGAGGAUAGGGGCUGUCUUGUUUCCGGGGCGGCAAUUGGAGAACUAGAAGAGGAUCCAAACCCUGCUAGGACCAUGGGUCUGAAACAUGGACGGACAAAGUUAGUAGCUGCUCUUGGUUCACAUCGAGGAAAUCCAGGUGGGGAAGUUGCUCAAAGCAUAUAGUAUAGUUGCUCAAGGUAUAAUGUAUAGUUUCUCAAAGAUCAACUGACAUGUUCUUCUUUUUUAGAGUUGCUCAAAAGAGAGAAUAGUAAAUAGAUAUUUUUCACAAUAAUGCUAAUUCUGGUAGCCCAAAAUGAAAUACAUAAGCUUUAUGCGCCACACCGUACAUCCAGGACAAAUUAGCAAUCCUCUCCUCAUCAUCCAUGUUAACUUUUCUUGAACAGAAUAAAUGCUACCUUUAAAUAUAAGUUAGGAUCCUGCUGCCUCCCGAAAGUGGUCGAUUCCUCUUCCAGGUCGCCAUCUUUCAAACUCUAGAAGCCUGGUCCGAUGGCCCGUCUGAAAGCCCGACAGUCCUGCAUCAUCCUCCCUGUGAAAAUAGCAACACAAAAAAGGAGCCACUAGUGAUAGAGCAAUUUCGAAACAGAAUAGAGCAACUGCAUGUCAUAAGGCAUAAAGCACCACAAAAAUAAAACAUGGUGUGAUUUGGGAAGAACUACCAUGCAACAAAAGCAACAAUAACAAACACACAAAAA
Long non-coding RNA from Aegilops tauschii subsp. strangulata, 2061 nucleotides. RefSeq lists it as uncharacterized. NCBI's taxonomy places the organism in Eukaryota, Viridiplantae, Streptophyta, Magnoliopsida, Poales, Poaceae. The record is from RefSeq and is a predicted model, not a curated record.